UGGAAAAUGGUUAAUAUUCCAUUACUUCUGUGUAAUGCGAUGAGAGGACGGAGAAGGCUAAAUCAGCCUGGCGUUGGUUGUCCAGGUGAAAGGAUGUAGGCAUGUAUCUUAGGCAAAUCCGGGGUACUCUAUGCUGAGAUCUGAUAGCAAGCUGUACUUGUAUAGCGAAGUGGUUGAUGCCAUGCUUCCAGGAAAAGUCUCUAAGCUUCAGUUACACAGGAAUCGUACCCGAAACCGACACAGGUGGUCAGGUCGAGUAGACCAAGGCGCUUGAGAGAACUCUGCUGAAGGAACUAGGCAAAAUGGUACCGUAACUUCGGGAGAAGGUACGCUGUUGUUGGUGAUGGAACUCGCUUCCUGAGCUGACGACAGCCGCAGAAACCAGGCCGCUGCAACUGUUUAUUAAAAACAUAGCACUCUGCAAACACGAAAGUGGACGUAUAGGGUGUGAUGCCUGCCCGGUGCUGGAAGGUUAAUUGAUGGGGUUAGCGUAAGCGAAGCUCUUGAUCGAAGCCCCAGUAAACGGCGGCCGUAACUAUAACGGUCCUAAGGUAGCGAAAUUCCUUGUCGGGUAAGUUCCGACCUGCACGAAUGGCAUAAUGAUGGCGGCGCUGUCUCCAGCAGAGGCUCAGUGAAAUCGAAAUCGCUGUGAAGAUGCAGUGUACCCGCGGCUAGACGGAAAGACCCCGUGAACCUUUACUGCAGCUUGACACUGAACUUUGACCUUACUUGUGUAGGAUAGGUGGGAGGCUUUGAAGCUGGAACGCUAGUUCCAGUGGAGCCGUCCUUGAAAUACCACCCUGGUAAUGUUGAGGUUCUAACUCUGUCCCGUGAUCCGGGACGAGGACCGUGUCUGGUGGGUAGUUUGACUGGGGCGGUCUCCUCCUAAAGAGUAACGGAGGAGUACGAAGGUGCGCUCAGCGUGGUCGGAAAUCACGCGUAGAGUAUAAAGGCAAAAGCGCGCUUAACUGCGAGACCCACAAGUCGAGCAGGUACGAAAGUAGGUCUUAGUGAUCCUGUGGUUCUGUAUGGAAGGGCCAUCGCUCAACGGAUAAAAGGUACUCUGGGGAUAACAGGCUGAUACCGCCCAAGAGUUCAUAUCGACGGCGGUGUUUGGCACCUCGAUGUCGGCUCAUCUCAUCCUGGGGCUGAAGCAGGUCCCAAGGGUAUGGCUGUUCGCCAUUUAAAGAGGUACGCGAGCUGGGUUUAGAACGUCGUGAGACAGUUCGGUCCCUAUCUACCGUGGGCGCUGGAAAUUUGAGAGGAUCUGCUCCUAGUACGAGAGGACCAGAGUGGACGAACCUCUGGUGUACCGGUUGUGACGCCAGUCGCAUCGCCGGGUAGCUAUGUUCGGAAGGGAUAACCGCUGAAAGCAUCUAAGCGGGAAGCCUACCUCAAGAUAAGAUUUCCCUAGGACUUUAUGUCCUCUAAAGAGCCGUUCGAGACUAGGACGUUGAUAGGUUGGAUC
Molecule: ribosomal RNA, 1468 nt
Filed under: metagenome
Description: bacterial LSU rRNA
Rfam family: Bacterial large subunit ribosomal RNA
Source: RNAcentral